GACGAACGCUGGCGGCGUGCUUAACACAUGCAAGUCGAACGAGACGAUUGAAAGCUUGCUUUCGAAAGUCGAGUGGCAAACGGGUGAGUAACGCGUAGACAACCUGCCUUUGAGAUGGGGACAACAGUUCGAAAGGACUGCUAAAACCGAAUGUUGUAUAUUUUCCACAUGGAAGAUAUAUUAAAGAUGGCCUCUAUUUAUAAGCUAUCGCUCAAAGAUGGGUCUGCGUCUGAUUAGCUAGUUGGUGGGGUAACGGCCUACCAAGGCGACGAUCAGGAGCCAGUCUGAGAGGAUGAACGGCCACAUUGGGACUGAGACACGGCCCAGACUCCGACGGGAGGCAGCAGUGGGGAAUCUUCCACAGUGGACGAAAGUCUGAUGGAGCAACGCCGCGUGGGUGAAGAAGGGUUUCGGCUCGUAAAGCUCUGUUGUCGGGGACGAAUGUGCAUUACUUGAAUAAAGUAGUGUAAUGACGGUACCUGACGAGGAAGCCACGGCUAACUACGUGCCAGCCGCCGCAGUAA
RNAcentral lists this ribosomal RNA (524 nucleotides) under uncultured bacterium. Its description in RNAcentral is "partial 16S ribosomal RNA". It matches the Rfam family "Bacterial small subunit ribosomal RNA", at positions 28 to 523 of the family's 1533-position model. The record is from RNAcentral.